RNAcentral lists this unclassified non-coding RNA (222 nucleotides) under Hevea brasiliensis (rubber tree). The record is from RNAcentral. Lineage: Eukaryota; Viridiplantae; Streptophyta; Magnoliopsida; Malpighiales; Euphorbiaceae.
AUCAAUAAUAGUUGGCCUUGACUAAGGAAUACUGGAUUGAACAAUGACCAAGAUUGUUGAUUCUCUAGUGGCUCGAAGAUUGCUUCUUAAUAACUAAUAAAAACCCAGGUCCAUUGGAGUUUAGAGACCAUCUCUAAUUGAUUGUUAUAAAAUAUUGUUUUCUGCAAAGAAAGAGAUAAAAUAUCACCUAGACCAAUGCUUCUUUGAAGAAGACCAAAUAUA